This 492-nucleotide ribosomal RNA is filed under the name uncultured bacterium. RNAcentral's name for it is "partial 16S ribosomal RNA". It matches the Rfam family "Bacterial small subunit ribosomal RNA", at positions 29 to 507 of the family's 1533-position model. The record is from RNAcentral.
AGUGAGCGCUGGCGGUAGGCCUAACACAUGCAAGUCGAACGGCAGCACAGUAAGAGCUUGCUCUUACGGGUGGCGAGUGGCGGACGGGUGAGGAAUACAUCGGAAUCUACUUUUUCGUGGGGGAUAACGUAGGGAAACUUACGCUAAUACCGCAUACGACCUACGGGUGAAAGCAGGGGAUAUUCGGACCUUGCGCGAAUGAAUGAGCCGAUGUCGGAUUAGCUAGUUGGCGGGGUAAAGGCCCACCAAGGCGACGAUCCGUAGCUGGUCUGAGAGGAUGAUCAGCCACACUGGAACUGAGACACGGUCCAGACUCCUACGGGAGGCAGCAGUGGGGAAUAUUGGACAAUGGGCGCAAGCCUGAUCCAGCCAUACCGCGUGGGUGAAGAAGGCCUUCGGGUUGUAAAGCCCUUUUGUUGGGAAAGAAAAGCAGCAGGUUAAUACCCCGCUGUUCUGACGGUACCCAAAGAAUAAGCACCGGCUAACUUCGUG